Molecule: ribosomal RNA, 382 nt
Filed under: uncultured eukaryote
Lineage: Eukaryota
Description: partial 18S ribosomal RNA
Rfam family: Eukaryotic small subunit ribosomal RNA
Source: RNAcentral
UGUAAGCGUAUACCAAAGUUGUUGCAGUUAAAACGCUCGUAGUCGGAAUUUGGCAGUUCCGGAUGUGUGCACGUCGUGUGCGCACUUCGCGGGGAUUGCUUUUGUGGUCUUGCGUAGGAUGAGGCACUUUUAUUAGUGAACGUCCUCACGCAACCACUUUUUACUGUGAGAAAAUCAGAGUGCUCAAAGCAGGCAUUUGCCGUGAAUGUAUUAGCAUGGAAUAAUAGAAUAGGACUUGGUUCUAUUUUGUUGGUUUGUUGGGACUGAGUAAUGAUUAAGAGGGACAGUUGGGGGCAUUUGUAUUUCGGUGCUAGAGGUGAAAUUCUUAGAUUACCGAAAGACAAACUGCUGCGAAAGCGUCUGCCAAGGAUGUUUUCGUUGA